GAGCAUGAGUGGGGCUUGUCGUGUCUUUGAACGACUUCAAGGUCCUGUAAAAGCGAAAAAAAAUGAACAAUUCUGAACAUCGGAAACACGUUGGCCUUUCAAUACGAAAAGGUCCAUUUCUCGGUGUAUCGAAAGAAAAGGCUCCUAAUCAGAAGAAACCGGUCCAUGUCCUUUGAAUUCGAGGUCUGAUUUCAGUAAACGGUUUCGUCAACAUUUAUCUCUUCGACAAAUUUCACCCAAGGUUGCUUUGAUUCAAAACACGGCAAUUGUGAUCCUGGGAUAUAACUCUUUGCCAUACGUAGUAGAUCCUCGGAGAAACGUAAGUAACUCAAUCAUGAACGUGAGCCAAAGCAAUGACAACUUACUUGCAGACCCAAUUAGCAUAACCAAUGCUCGCCUCUGGCUCAUUUCCCAGAAAACAGGCGUGCCUGAAUAAGUCCAUGGCCUCUGAAUCAUAACCCGUGGUCUCCGCCAACAAUGCUUGUCCAACCCAGCCUCGAAGAUAACUUGGAUCGUGGUUCUGAGCUUCUUGGAACGAUUUGUUGGCGAGUUCGUGUUCCCUAGAAGAAAUGGGAACAAAUCUAGAGAUGAGAGGACGAAGACACAUGGGCGCUCAUCACAAAACUAGUCUCAUGACUAGGGGUGCACCUUUCAUGCAAAUACACUUUUUGCCACUUUUCUUCAUUCAGUGGCAUUGUUUGGAGUUUUUUAUGGUUUUUUUUCGUACGUUGCAUUUCUUAAAUGCCACUUUUUGCAAAUUAAUGCCUCAGACUUGAGGAUGAGAGCCUAGCAAUUACAGGGGACAUUUUGAGAAUUUUUUUGGCUGUUCAUUGCGCAUGGGAUACUUAUGCAUGUUUGAUGUUAAAGUGUUCGGAAACUCGUUUGCUUAUCAUUACACUUUUUUCUUUCAUGAAAUAAAUUUUGAGGGCGAUGUUGCCUUUUCAACCCUUGAA
Long non-coding RNA from Tigriopus californicus, 953 nucleotides. RefSeq lists it as uncharacterized. The record is from RefSeq and is a predicted model, not a curated record. The transcript has 2 exons. Lineage: Eukaryota; Metazoa; Arthropoda; Copepoda; Harpacticoida; Harpacticidae.